CAGGCAGUUAAAAGAACAGUUCAGUUGGAUAUAACUUACAGUACGUCACACAAAUCUGGAGUGCCCAAGGAACAUUAGUUUCAGGGAACACACUGAGAUUAUAACCAGCCUUUUUGCCAGGGGCAGCUUGUAACUCAGAAAGUCAUGUUUCAUUUAGGAUGUGCUGUAUAAUGUUGAAGGGGAAAGUAACUAUUUUGUUUUGUUGUGUUUCUUCCCAGUCCAAGAAGAAAGCAUUUGGAGAAGUGCUACACAUGCUCAACUGAACUUCCUGUCAAAUUGUUCUCACUCGUUUGGGCACAAGUCUGCUUAAGCCAUCUCUCAUUAACAUUUACUCUUGCCCGAAGCCCUCUACGCCCCCAACCCCUGCUAAUCUUCCACAAGCAAGCUGAUCACACUGGGAUCUCCUUUUCCCAGACACGUUUGAUUCUCACUUUCUCCUGAACCUAGAAAUGUGCUUCCCACCAAAGCAUGCCAGGCACUAACUCGUCCCUACUGAAAGGGGCUGUUAAAAGCUCAUCUUCUUUCCAGAUGGUAGUGAGGUGUGAGGUGAUCCUUUCUCUUUCUUUUUUUUUUUUUUUUACUUUUAGCUACCCCUCAAUUCUGGUGUUCAGUAACAAUGUAUUCCACUUAAAAGAGAGAAAUCAUAUUAAUUAUUCUAAGAUAUAAACACUUAAUUUUAUUCAUGCUCUUGAAUUACUUUCCUUUCUACCGCAUGUUUGUGUAGCUGUUAUAUGAGUCCUUUCUACUGAUGUAGCUGUCAUUCCUUCAACUCAGUUCUUGCCAAACACUGAGCUAUGUCUGGAGAUACAAAGAUAACUACUCUUGUUGAAGAGAUGCCAGUUUAGUGGGGGAGACAGACAUGUAAACAGAUCUGUAUCUGAGAUAGAUGGCCUGGGUAGGAAAAGAAUAUAUAUAGCACAAAUAACUCAGUGGACCUGCAAAAACAGAGCUUGAGGCCAUGAUAUACCACAAAGACCCACCAAGGCACAAGCACUGUCAACAUGAAGAAUAGAAAAGUUUAAGCAUGUUUUAAAGAAUCAUACCUUUCACCGAAACCGACAAAGCAACUCUAUAUAAUGUCAAGAACAAUGGCUGUGGCCUUGCAUCUUGUUUCCACCGCUACAGAUCAAAACAGGCAAAUAACAUCUCUGUGUUUCGUUUCUUCAUCUAUGAAAUGAAGAUAAUUGUUCCCAUCUCAUGGGAAUGUGGUGAGGAUUCAUUGUAAUGAUGCAAAUGAAAUAACUAAGCCUGACUGCCUGAAACUCACACGGGAGAUCUUCAAAGAAUGUUAGUUCUCUUCUCCAUCUAUUCUUACCAACAAAAGAAUGCAGAAGACCUAUUUUCACCAGAAGGAGGACUGGAACCAGAGUUAGCAGGUAUGGAGUCACAUGGGUGAAUCAAUAAAACCCACUCAAAAUUUCAUCUAUGAAAAACCUGUCCUUCUUUAUUAUACAUUAGAAGACCCAAAGAUGGUUCUGGAAGCAAACACACUGAAUUCUGGAAAGGGGAGGAAAAGGAACAGAAUUGGCAUUUGUUAUGUGCUUCAUGUGCUACUGGUUGCACCCAGCUUUUCUAUACAUAAUCGUAUUACUUAAGGCACCACAGAACUCUAUACAGCAGUUAGAACUGUGAUGGAACCAGUGAGGCUGGCUUCCUCUUAUCCAAGUAUGACUGGAGGACAGGGCUCAAAUGACCGUGCAGGUGCAUCUGGGCGGGGGGGCGGGGGUAUAACAAUGAAGAGGAGGUGCAAUAACAGCCCCGUGGGGAUGAUGACAGACAGAAUAUGCUCAUGAAUAAGAAUGUCUUACUUAUCCCAUCUUAAUUACUUUCUUCUGUCUCUUUCUUCAUGUUUAAGUAUUAAGAGCAGUGAGGUGGUAAGAAAUGGUAUGGGAGUCAUAUCAGAAUCCUUUGGAGAGAAGAGAUGGGCACAUGUGUCAUCUAAAAAAGCAUUUUCAAAAUUAUAAUAAAAUACACAACAUUUGCAAAGCAGGCUUUCUGCCCGUUGUGACCGUGAAAACAAAGCAGCUGAAGAGGCCUGAUGUGAAAGUGACCUCCUCUGUGCUCUGUCACUGGCAAGAACAGGAAAAACACUUGGGGCAAGCAAGCCAGCCCCACUUUCACACAUGACUCACACGACUGAAGGAAAG
RNAcentral lists this long non-coding RNA (2147 nucleotides) under Homo sapiens (human). Its description in RNAcentral is "HSALNT0105773". Lineage: Eukaryota; Metazoa; Chordata; Mammalia; Primates; Hominidae. The record is from RNAcentral.